This is an RNA transcript of Fragaria vesca subsp. vesca, 1542 nucleotides long. It is a transcript of the gene named bifunctional dihydroflavonol 4-reductase/flavanone 4-reductase-like, with no coding region annotated. The record is from RefSeq and is a predicted model, not a curated record. The transcript is spliced from 6 exons. Lineage: Eukaryota; Viridiplantae; Streptophyta; Magnoliopsida; Rosales; Rosaceae.
UAUAUAAGAUGGAACUCACGGAAGGGAAGGAUUGAAAAUAGGAGGCUUAGGAGCGCCGAUAGCGGAUAACAACCACCACCGCACCACGCAUGUUGAAAACCAGGAGUCAGGUGCAGCUACCACUCAUACAUGUGCAAACAGCCAUGAACAAGCUAGACCAGAUCGAUGAUGAUAUAUAUCUAUAUAUAUGCCGCCAUCCCGGACAGUAUCCAAUACUCCACGGCACUAACUAGCUAGGCAUGGGGUUGGGAGCAGAAUCCGGAUCCGUUUGUGUGACGGGCGCCUCCGGUUUCGUCGGUUCAUGGCUCGUCAUGAGACUCCUCGAGCGCGGCUACACCGUCCGAGCCACCGUGCGAGACCCUGCUAAUUUGAAGAAGGUGAGACAUCUGCUGGAGUUACCACAGGCGGCCACGCUACUGACGCUGUGGAAGGCGGACCUGGACAUCGAGGGAAGCUUUGAUGAGGCCAUUAAGGGAUGCACCGGAGUGUUUCAUGUCGCCACGCCUAUGGAUUUCGAGUCCGAGGACCCUGAGAACGAAGUGAUAAAGCCAACAAUAAAUGGGAUGUUAGACAUCAUGAAAGCAUGUCUCAAAGCAAAGACAGUUCGGAGGGUGGUGUUUACAUCUUCGGCCGGAGCUGUCGCCAUUGAAGAGCAUCGAAAGGAGGUCUACAGCGAAAACAACUGGAGCGAUGUUGUGUUUUGCCGGAAAGUAAAGAUGACUGGUUGGAUGUAUUUUGUAUCCAAAACUCUAGCCGAGCAAGCAGCAUGGAAGUUUGCCAAAGAAAACAACAUUGAUUUCAUUACGAUUAUCCCAACUCUUGUAAUCGGUCCUUUUCUCGCGCCAUCUAUGCCACCAAGCCUCAUAUCUGGACUUUCACCACUCACUGGAAAUGAAGCUCAUUAUGGGAUUAUAAAGCAAUGUCAAUACGUUCACCUAGAUGAUCUCUGCCAAUCUCAUAUAUUCCUCUACGAGCAUCCGAAAGCCGAGGGCCGCUACAUCUGUUCAUCACAUGAUGCCACGAUUCACGACAUUGCGAAAUUGCUGAAUGAAAGAUACCCCAAGUAUAAUGUUCCUAAGAAGUUCAAGGGCAUUGAGGAGAACUUGACAAAUAUCCAUUUUUCUUCAAAGAAGCUGAAAGAGAUGGGGUUUGAGUUCAAACACAGCUUGGAGGACAUGUUUACAGGGGCUGUUGAUGCUUGCAGAGCAAAGGGUCUGCUUCCACUUCCCCAGGAAGAAUAAUAACUGAAAAGCGCAGGGCUGGUUAGCGAGUGGUUCAUGCCAAUGGCUCCGAUCCAAUCGAAGUUAUCAUAUAUUCUCAGUUACAUUUUUAUUUCUAUUUCUGAGAAGGAUCAUUCUCAGUAACCUUCAUGUCUCUAUUGUUGAGAAUUUCAAAUAAGUUGUUGUUUGAUUUGAAUCAUUUGACGAUCGAGUGUGCUUACUCCAUUCAAAGCUCCUUCGUUUGAUGAUGUAAUUUGUGCUUAAGAAUAAAUAUUACCGUUUGAUGAUGCAACUAUUACUUUAUGCUCAAGAGUCAAGAGCA